GAUGAAGAACGUAGCGAAAUGCGAUACGUAAUGUGAAUUGCAGAAUUCAGUGAAUCAUCGAAUCUUUGAACGCAUAUUGCGCUCUUUGGUAUUCCGAAGAGCAUGCUUGUUUGAGUAUCAGUAAACACCUCAACCUCUUCUUGAUUUUUCAAAAGGAGGGUGGACCUGAGCUAUCCCAACAACCUUUACCGGUCGGCGGGCGGCUUGAAAUGCAGGUGCAGCUGGACUUUUAUCUGAGCUAAAAGCAUAUCUAUUUAGUCCUCGUCAAACAGGAUUAUUACUUUUGCUGCAGCUAACAUAAAGGAUAAUUGUCCUCUUUGCUGACUGAUGCAGGAUUUUACGACACUUUAUGUGUUGUUCAACUCGAUCUCAAAUCAAGUAAGACUACCCGCUGAACUUAAGCAUAUCAAUAAGCGGAGGA
This 421-nucleotide unclassified non-coding RNA is filed under the name soil metagenome. Its description in RNAcentral is "partial contains 5.8S ribosomal RNA, internal transcribed spacer 2, and large subunit ribosomal RNA". The stretch from base 1 to 120 matches the Rfam family "5.8S ribosomal RNA", at positions 35 to 154 of the family's 154-position model. The record is from RNAcentral.